Pteropus vampyrus (large flying fox) is the source of this 119-nucleotide ribosomal RNA. Lineage: Eukaryota; Metazoa; Chordata; Mammalia; Chiroptera; Pteropodidae. The record is from Ensembl.
GACUACGGCUGUGCCACUCUGAACAUGCCUGAUCUCGUCUGAUCUUGGAGGCUAAGCAGGGUCAGGCCUGGUUAGUACUUAGAUGGGAGACCACCUAGGAAUACCAGGUGCUAUAGGUG